CGAGCGAGCGGGAAGAGCUCAAAUUUAUAAUCUGGCACCUUCGGUGUCCGAGUUGUAAUCUCUAGAAAUGUUUUCCGCGUUGGACCGCACACAAGUCUGUUGGAAUACAGCGGCAUAGUGGUGAGACCCCCGUAUAUGGUGCGGACGCCCAGCGCUUUGUGAUACAUUUUCGAAGAGUCGAGUUGUUUGGGAAUGCAGCUCAAAUUGGGUGGUAAAUUCCAUCUAAAGCUAAAUAUUGGCGAGAGACCGAUAGCGAACAAGUACCGUGAGGGAAAGAUGAAAAGCACUUUGGAAAGAGAGUUAACAGUACGUGAAAUUGUUGGAAGGGAAACGCUUGAAGUCAGACUUGCUUGCCGAGCAAUCGGUUUGCAGGCCAGCAUCAGUUUUCCGGGAUGGAUAAUGGUAGAGAGAAGGUAGCAGUUUCGGCUGUGUUAUAGCUCUCUGCUGGAUACAUCUUGGGGGACUGAGGAACGCAGUGUGCCUUUGGCGGGGGUUUCGACCUCUUCACACUUAGGAUGCUGGUGGAAUGGCUUUAAACGACCCGUCUUGA
RNAcentral lists this ribosomal RNA (550 nucleotides) under Rhodotorula mucilaginosa. RNAcentral's name for it is "LSU rRNA". It matches the Rfam family "Eukaryotic large subunit ribosomal RNA", at positions 90 to 657 of the family's 3401-position model. The record is from RNAcentral. Lineage: Eukaryota; Fungi; Basidiomycota; Microbotryomycetes; Sporidiobolales; Sporidiobolaceae.